CCUACGGGGUGCAGCAGUGGGGAAUAUUGCACAAUGGGGGAAACCCUGAUGCAGCGACGCCGCGUGAGUGAAGAAGUAUUUCGGUAUGUAAAGCUCUAUCAGCAGGGAAGAAAAUGACCGUACCUGACUAAUAAGCCCCGGCUAAAUACGUGCCAGCAGCCGCGGUAAUACGUAGGGGGCAAGCGUUAUCCGGAUUUACUGGGUGUAAAGGGAGCGUAGACGGUUGCGCAAGUCUGGAGUGAAAUCCCAGGGCUUAACCUUGGGACUGCUUUGGAAACUGGGCAGCUAGAGUGCAGGAGAGGUAAGCGGAAUUCCUAGUGUAGCGGUGAAAUGCGUAGAUAUUAGGAGGAACACCAGUGGCGAAGGCGGCUUACUGGACUGUAACUGACGUUGAGGCUCGAAAGCGUGGGGAGCAAACAGGAUUAGAUACCCGAGUAGUC
RNAcentral lists this ribosomal RNA (440 nucleotides) under uncultured bacterium. RNAcentral's name for it is "partial 16S ribosomal RNA". It matches the Rfam family "Bacterial small subunit ribosomal RNA", at positions 338 to 795 of the family's 1533-position model. The record is from RNAcentral.